CCUACGGGCGGCAGCAGUGAGGAAUAUUGGUCAAUGGACGAGAGUCUGAACCAGCCACGUAGCGUGAAGGAUGACUGCCCUAUGGGUUGUAAACUUCUUUUAUAUGGGAAUAAAAUGUUCCACGUGUGGGAUUUUGUAGGUACCAUAUGAAUAAGGAUCGGCUAACUCCGUGCCAGCAGCCGCGGUAAUACGGAGGAUCCGAGCGUUAUCCGGAUUUAUUGGGUUUAGAGGGAGCGUAGGUGGAUUGUUAAGGCAGUUGUGAAAGUUUGCGGAUCAACCGUAAAAUUGCAGUUGAAACUGGCAGUCGUGAGUACAGUAGAGGUGGGCGGAAUUCGUGGUGUAGCCGUGAAAUGCUGAGAUAUCACGAAGAACUCCGAUUGCGAAGGCAGUUCACUGGACUGCAACUGACACUGAGGCUCGAAAGUGUGGGUAUCAAACAGGAUUAGAUACCCUAGUAGUC
This 460-nucleotide ribosomal RNA is filed under the name uncultured bacterium. RNAcentral's name for it is "partial 16S ribosomal RNA". It matches the Rfam family "Bacterial small subunit ribosomal RNA", at positions 338 to 795 of the family's 1533-position model. The record is from RNAcentral.